CAGAAGACACAACAGCUCUGUUUCAGGAAUUAUACUUACAGAAUGGAAUCAUAAAAGACUUAUUCGGGAAAGCUGCAGAGGCAAUUAAGAAGGUCAAUAAGGUAAUGUAGCAU
Erpetoichthys calabaricus (reedfish) is the source of this 113-nucleotide long non-coding RNA. RefSeq lists it as uncharacterized. The record is from RefSeq and is a predicted model, not a curated record. Lineage: Eukaryota; Metazoa; Chordata; Cladistia; Polypteriformes; Polypteridae. The transcript has 3 exons.